GUACUCUGGUUUCUCUUCAAAUCGUAUAAAUCUUUCGCCUUUUACUAAAGAUUUCCGUGGAGAGGAACAAUUCUGAGUCUGAAUUAAUUUUUUGCAGGCCUUGGCUUACAAGGCU
This 115-nucleotide small nuclear RNA is filed under the name Octodon degus (degu). RNAcentral's name for it is "U5 spliceosomal RNA (ENSODEG00000025646.1)". It matches the Rfam family "U5 spliceosomal RNA". From Rfam's summary of the family: U5 RNA is a component of both types of known spliceosome. The precise function of this molecule is unknown, though it is known that the 5' loop is required for splice site selection and p220 binding, and that both the 3' stem-loop and the Sm site are important for Sm protein binding and cap methylation. The record is from Rfam by way of RNAcentral. Lineage: Eukaryota; Metazoa; Chordata; Mammalia; Rodentia; Octodontidae.